CAUACCUAUACGUUGCUUCGGCGGCCGUCCCCCGGGGCGUCCGCCGGAGGAUAACCAAACUCUGAUUUAACGACGUUUCUUCUGAGUGGCACAAGCAAAUAAUCAAAACUUUUAACAACGGAUCUCUUGGUUCUGGCAUCGAUGAAGAACGCAGCGAAAUGCGAUAAGUAAUGUGAAUUGCAGAAUUCAGUGAAUCAUCGAAUCUUUGAACGCACAUUGCGCCCGCCAGCAUUCUGGCGGGCAUGCCUGUUCGAGCGUCAUUUCAACCCUCAAGCACUGCUUGGUGUUGGGGCUCUACGGUUGACGUAGGCCCCCAAAACUAGUGGCGGACCCUCUCGGAGCCUCCUUUGCGUAGUAACUUUUGUCUCGCACUGGGAUUCGGAGGGACUCUAGCCGUUAAACCCCCCAAUUUUCUAAAGGUUGACCUCGGAUCAGGUAGGAAUACCCGCUGAACUUAAGCAUAUCAAUAA
This 470-nucleotide ribosomal RNA is filed under the name fungal sp. A219. RNAcentral describes it as "eukaryotic LSU rRNA". The stretch from base 107 to 260 matches the Rfam family "5.8S ribosomal RNA". The record is from RNAcentral. Lineage: Eukaryota; Fungi.